Oncorhynchus keta (chum salmon) is the source of this 148-nucleotide long non-coding RNA. RefSeq lists it as uncharacterized. The record is from RefSeq and is a predicted model, not a curated record. The transcript has 3 exons. Lineage: Eukaryota; Metazoa; Chordata; Actinopteri; Salmoniformes; Salmonidae.
CUAUAAACUCCAGUGGUAAACUAUAAACUCCAGUGGUAAACUAUAAACUCCAGUGGUAAACUAUAAACUCCAGAGGUAAACUAUAAACUCCAGUGGUAAACUAUAAACUCCAGUGGUAAACUAUAAACUCCAGUGGUAAAUUAUAAAC